UAAUAUAUUUUCUCCCAAUAGCAUCAGAGACUUCUUGACAUUUUAGAAGCAGAGAAGGCAGUCUUGUCAGAAAAGAUAGAAGAAGCUUUGAUGCAGCAGUCACAAAAACAUAAGGAAGUGCUGGACAAAUGUUUGGAUGAAGAAAGGAAAAGAAGUAAGGAGGCUGUGGCAGCUGCUGCAAAGGCUGAAAAAGAAAUAGUACAGGAGGUUGUUCUGAAAGCUGUAGAGGAGGAAAGGAAAAACAUGGAGAAGAUUCAUGAAGAAGAAAGAAAUAUGUGGAAAGCAGAACAUGAGAGACAAAACAAAAAGAUUGCCCAAGCUGUUUGGGAAGCAAUGCAAGAGCAAAGAAAACAUAAUGAAGUUAGUAUAUUUUAUUCUUCUAUGGACUUGCUUUGUUUGGUUUAUAUUUAAUUUUUAAGGUCUUUCUAAUUAUGUGAAAAAUUCUUAUAAUACAGUGUUUUUCACUGCUUGUUGAUAUGCACUGCAUUCAUAACUUAUUUCCAUUUGGACUGGAAAGAAUUUGGCAGUUUCAGAACAUAGCUCCUGCAACUUUUUGAGGCAUGUGUAUUGAAAUGAGAUAAUUGUGCACUGUAAAUGCCUGGUUUUCUUUACUGACUUCCAAAAGAGCCCAAGAGAAAUUGUUAAGAUAGUGACAUUAUGUUGUAGAUUAUUUAUGUGACUUUUUCAUUUUUAUACCUAUGGAAGAAAAGUUACAUUUAUUCCUUAUUAUGCUGGAAUCCCAUUGUCUCUCUUAGUAAAAGGAUGUUUUACUAAGAUAAAAUAUAGAGGAGGUACAAAAUAAAGAGGAUUAUUAAAAUCAGAAACCUAAAACAUUAACAAACCAAUGUUUUUAGAGCUAUAUUUUAGACAAAUGCUUCUGUAGGGAUAGUGGUAUGUAUUAAGAGGAGCAUUCCUAGCACAGUACUUUACGAGACAGUAGGGAUCUCAAAUUAAGUAGUUCUUCCAAAAGUUCAAUUCUGUAGUCUCUACUGGUCAAAAUAUCUGAAGGAACAGUCUGUUUUGUUGGUGGCCUACUUGCUUAAAAUUCUUUGGACUAUAAGAUUCAAGAUGUAUUUCAUUCAAAUCUUGGAAUUUUAUGUUGAUGUUUUUUUAACAUGCUGAAAAAUAAAAAAAAGAAAAAUAACAAACCACACAGCUUUAGAAUUUAAAGAAUAGGAUAAAAUAUCAUGUAUGUUUAAAACCCAUCUCCUUGCAAACAGAUGCCAUUACCGUUUCCAGUGUUUAAAAGAAAUAUUCAUCUCACAGCUAACCAAAUUUACAAAGUUUUUUUGAUGCAAAGCCAUUAUUAUAAUCUGCAUCUGUUUUGUGUACAUUUCUAGUAUAAAUGACUUUGUUUUGUAUGUAACAGGCUUAAUUUUUUUGAAUUCAAAGAUAAACUGAUAGGAUGUCAGUUUUCAAAGUAGUAAUUUUACUGUGAUAAGCAUUACUAUGAUAAACUUUUCAUGACCAAAGGAUAGUCCAGUGACUUGAAAGCUAAAUUUAAGCUAAGAACACUACUCAAGGUUUAGCUACAGUAGAAAUCAUUUAUACUACCCUGAAUGACUGUUGGUACCAGUGGUGCAGAGGAGCUGUUAACAGCAGAAAGAACAAUAACAGUUGCGUACAACAGUAAAGACAGACCAUAGUUUUAUACCAUGUGGAACAUGAAGAGAUUAGUAGUAGGAGGAAAUAGAAAUGAAUGUGUCAUCAAAUUAAUGUGCAGUUUAGUGCUAUUUCUAAGGCAGGUAGUUCUAUCCUUCUGUGAAAACUUGUGCAUCUUGGACAAAAUGCGCCAUCUGUCAAAUGAGAAGAUUCAUCAGGGAAUAGGUCUCAUAGUUGAGUGUGUGAGGUCAGGCAGGAUUCUACUUUUAUGUAUUUGGGUUGCACAUAAAAUAUAUUCAAGUGACUCAAGGUAGGUGUUUUUUUUUCCCCUGGUGGAACAUACUGCUGGAGUUUCUUGUUACUUUGGAAAUAAUCACGGGCAGCAUAACAUUAGUAGUUUAGUAUUGAUUGAUAUAUUUUCAGGCAAAAUCUUAAAUAGUGAGAUGUCAGAGCUUUUCCAAGGAAGAAAUUCAGGACUUCAGGAGGACUUUUCAGCUUAGGAUGCUAGCUAAUCAAGCAGUUGAUUAUGUUAGAUUAUUCAGUUAUAUACUGUGAUGCUGAGUAGUACUUUGUUAUUGGAGAAUGUUGUUAGUACUUCUCCCAUAAAUUUCUUCCUUUUGAUCUAGUUAUGCAUCAUUAAUUCUUUUUUCUAAUACUGAACAGCUCUGACAACUUUGAUGUUAAGAGGAAAGAUUUCUCUUACAAUGAAUUAUGAUUUCUCAUUUGAAUUAGGUUCCUUUUUUCAAAUAUUUAAUCUGUUUUCACUUUAGUAAAAUGUAGAUUUUUCUUGAGAUUUCUAGAGUUCUCUCAUAUAAAUAGUGUAACACGUUUGAUGUUUUGCUCUUUAAUCUCUGGUUUAUUAAUGCAAGUUCUUCAGGAAAGAUGGACUUUCAUAUGGAAUGCUUUUCUUUGCAUAAACUUUCACUUUUUAUUUCUACUAUGAAAUUACUUACCUCCAUAAGCCAUUACUCUUAUAAACAUUCUACAGCUACUAAAAUUUUCUCAAUCUGGCAACAAAGAAAGCCAUAUAAAGCUGAUAUGCCAAAUAUGAAGUUGUCAGAAGUGACUUUGAUUUAGAGCUGAAAAAUAGUUGGAACUACCAUCAAGCAGUUUGUCAACUGACAGUGGUUUUAUAGAGCCUUCUACUUAGUUUCUUAUUUGCAUUUUUUUUCUUUAAGAUUUUUCUUACAAGAGGUAUAAAAACUAUUCACUUACUUGCAAUUGUUGUUCAGACUGCAUAGUCGACAUGUCAAGUCAGCCCUGUAAUGGCCAUUAGGCAUAGUCUAAUAUUUUGGACAUCUAAAUGUAAAAUUAUGGUAACAUGAUGCCUCUUUUAAUUCCUCAUAUCUCAUUGUAUAAUUCUUUACGCUUCUUGCUUCAGAAUUGUCAUUUGAUAAUACUAUGUUUAGCACCAAGUAAUGAAACAAGUGUGGAUGUGUGUAAGUGAACAUGCAAAAUAUGUCUUUUAGUGUCAGGCAUAUAAAAACAGCAUUACAGGGAAUACUGUUAUUACAAUAGAACUAACUUUUAAACCAACACAUGAGUUUGGAAUUUAAUACUAAGAAGGAGAAGCCUUGUUCUCAUCAAAACUCUAUCCUUUUCAAAUUCUCACAAACAGGAAGAAUGUGUUUGAGAUAGAAAAAAAAUUUUGUUUAAAAGUGUCUUUUACCCCAUUAGUAAUUUUGUAAUAGAGACUUAGAUUACAAUUGAAUUUUUAUCAUGCUGCAAAUUACUUUUAAGAGAUUGGUUUUAAUAAUUUGAACAACAAAAUAUUAUGUCAAGCAUGGUAUUAAAGAGGAAUUUUCCUUUGCUAAUGCUAUACAUCUGCAAAAUUGAAAAGCUGGAAAGGGUCAUGUACACUACUGCAAAUAGUUGAGGCAGAAUGGCUUGCAGUCAUGAAAUAUAUAGGUAAAUCUAGGAACGAAGAAUGAAAGAGUCUGAACAUAUGCUAAAUUUUAUGAUCUUCUUUGAGAUGAAGUCCCACUUUAUAAUCUGUGAUUGAAUUAUAAUCACCAUGAUUAACCUAUUAUCAAUAUCAAGAAUAUUGUUACCAAAUAUGCAAAGUAAAGAUAAACUGACAGUGAAAACAAUAACUGAAAAAUUCUGAGUUAAAGCUUCCUUUUUUAAAAGUAAUUAAAAGAAUAAGACAUCAUAAAUAUGAUGCUUAGAUUGGAGAGAAUAAGCUCUCCUUGAAAUAAGCAAGUCAUCUUUUAACUAAAUAAAACGUACACUUGCAAAGUAACUAUGUAAUUUUUUUGCAAAACGUUGAAAAAUUACUAUAGGUGAGGAUGUUUAGCUGGCUAAAUUUAGGCUGGCAUGUCUCCAGCAUUUAUCUUUUAUUUUGGUAUAUUGGAUUGUUUUGUUUUUUUUCAGUAGCAGCUUCCCUGCAAAGAGGAUUUAAUAGGCACUGUAGUUCUCAGUGUUGAGUGAAAUUCUUGAAAUAAAGUAUUCUAGUUUGAUAAUUUUCUAUCUAAAGUUUGGUUUUUGUUUUUGUUUUUUUUUAUUUAGCAGAGGUUGCCCAGUGCAUACAUAGGAUCUAUAAACUUAGCUAAAGCUGAACCUUUCCAUAUAGAACUCAAAAUGGCAUUUAAGCAACUGGUAUAAAUGUAAGUGGAAAAGACAAUGAACAGUGCUUUCCACUGUUAAAAGAUUUUCUUCCCACUUAGUUUUACUCUUUGGAAAAAAGAGUAAAUCUGGAUAGUAAAAAAGUGAAAAAUGGGGGAUAUAGGGCAAGUAAAGUAAUAACAAUUUCAAUAAAGUAGAAAUAACUAUACAGUAGGUCACUCCAAAAGUAAUGCCUCCUGUUUAUUGCUGCAGAAAUUACAAGCUCAAUAACAGAAUUUGAUAGAGCAAACUCUCCUCUACAAAACACUAUUUUUCAACAUAGUCACCAACAUUAGCUAUGCUUUUAUAUCAGCGAUGAACAAGAGCCUGCAUGCUGCACCCAUAAGAAUCUGCAGCAGUGGAAAUGACCUAAUGUCACUGUCACCACUGCUGAAACACCACCUACCACCUCACUGUGCUCACUCUUUGGUCUCCAAAACCAUUCAGCAAGUGUUAAGUGUCAAUCAGUGCCAUUUUUCCCACAUGGAGGAAUUCAGUUCCAAACCUUUGCUUCAUAUGUACUUCCAGAUUAGACUUUAUACUGUCAGACUGACCUCUGCUUUCAUCUCUCACAUGACAACAAUAUGUAAUGGAAUAGUGGUGGGAAAGUCCAACCUCUGUUGUCAUACCACCAUCAUCUGCCUCUGAUGUCAUGGGCUACCAUAAUAAAAUAGGAGGCAUUACUUUUGGACCAAGCCUCAUAUAAUUACUUGUCAAUGCAGAGUACAUAUAACAUUAGCUAGAGCAACCAUAACACUAUAAUGCAGAGAGUUGUAUGUAGCUAUUUUAGCUCUCUGCAUGGUAGCAUUAUAAUUUCACAAAACUAAACACUUAAUUACAUAAAUGAGAAGAAAAAAUAAGAAUUUAUGCCUGACAAUUUUAGUUUUAAAAGAAAUCUUUAAAAUUGAAAUAAUAGCAAGCAUCUGAAGGGUGAGCCCUGGAUUUUCAGGUCUAUGCUGUAACUUGAAGGCUUGUAUUUAAAGUAUCACAUAGAAUCUACUGCAUUUUACCCUGAUUCUUGGGGGAAAAGGAGCCUGAAUUCAUAAUUGCCAUUAUCCAUGUGUGCUUUAUGUGAGACUCUAAAGAAGACUGCAAACAAUUACAGGAAAAAAAACAAAACAACCAUCCAAAGCUAUUUUAUUAAAAGAACAACAAAAUCUGUUCCUCUUAGACAGGAGCAGAAGCACUAAGGCAAAAUCACAAUGGUAACUAAUGGUAACUUAGUCAACAGGAAUUAGAACCUCUGUGUUGUGUAGUUGAUUAUCAAUUAUUUUCUGUGAUAUUUGGUAUUUAUGCUUCUUCUGUAUGACUAUUUCCUUCCCAGGUUAGGUAACUGCUCUGUGCUGUCUCUUGGCUUGUAUUGAAUUUAGAAGCCUAAGGUACUUUUUGCUACGUGCUUGCUUUGAGCAUUUUUUUCUGUCUAAACUAAAAACAUAUCUCUAUUUGGUACUACCUUGUGAAUGCAUCACUAUCACUUUAAACUCAGAAGAUUUUUAAUGUUUCUUUCUGACUAUCCAAAUACUUAUUAUUACCUUCAAUAUGCACAUUGUUGCUUGUUUUUCUGGACUCCAUAUUGGCUUUGUUUCAGAUCUGAUUUUAAAUAUAAUUGUUUAGAUGUUGCUGGUCAUUUAUGCAGCAGAUCUGCAAUAUAUGACAUUUCUAGCCACAUAGAUACAAUCUUUAUUUUCCCUGACUGAAUUAUUGUUUGCAGAUUUAGAGUACUACUUUAAAGGCCUUUUUCUAGCCCUUUAGUGUGAUCUCUCCAUUGGUCUUUCUCUGAUAAAUAGGCAGUGUGCUACUUUCUAUCUCUGCAUCAGAGAUUAUUUUCAACUUUCUUUUCAUUUUUUCACUCUAGUUAUAUUUAUUACUGAAAGAUCCAUUUUUUUUUUACAUAUAAGAAGUCCAUGAUAUUAACAUUGCCUUUACAUGUUUUAUAAUGCUUUUGUACUUGAGAAUGACCUAUACAAUGAUAUUAAUUUCACUUCCUGAAAUAGUCUUUGAAACUUCUCAUUUAUGAUAUACAGGACAUUGAGUGCACUGCCUGUUAAAUAUACAGAAUACAAAAUAGUAUCUGUUUAUCAAUUUUUCUUUGUCUGUUUCUUAUCUGUUGCAUAGCUUAUGAAAUCCUGUUGGGGAUGCAGGCAGUAUGUGAAAUGCUCCAUUUGUUCUAUGUUUCAUAAUAUGCCAGUACAAUGGUACAUUUAAUGUUGCAAUUCCAGGAAUAAAUUGUUCAACUUUAUUUGACUGAUUGAGAGAGUGUUGUUUUGGAAGGAAAAGCAACAUCUUUUUCAGCAACGGUCUUGGCCUAUCACAGCAUUGCCGUUCAUGUUCAAAAUUUUGUGGGUUUUUGCCAGAAGUCAUUUUUCUUAAUAUCAUGGCCCCUGACCCUAUUACAAUAGUGAAAAUUAUAUUAUGAAAUGUGAUGGAGAAAAUGGAGAAAAAAUUGCUUUUCUGAAUUCAUGUGCAAUUUAUAUUGCCUUUGCCGUAUUUUUCAACUUUCAAUGCUUAAAUUUCUCUUAAGAGAAUAUGAAAUAACACUUUGCAUGCACUUUUUUUUAGGUUGAAUUAAUUAACUAUAAUUUGAAAGUUACUAUUUUCUGAAAAAAUAUUGUCAUUGUAGUCUGUGUUGUAUUUCCUAGAUAAAAUGUAUUACUGCCACCUCAUCCUUGUGUGGAAACAGAAGAAUGUUCCUAUAAAAUUGCCAACAAUCAUAUCACAGAAUCAUAGAAUCACAGAAUGGCCAGGGUUGAAAGGGACCUCAAG
Non-coding RNA from Meleagris gallopavo (turkey), 6969 nucleotides. The record is from RefSeq and is a predicted model, not a curated record. NCBI's taxonomy places the organism in Eukaryota, Metazoa, Chordata, Aves, Galliformes, Phasianidae.